UGUCACUCACUUCAUUGAAUCCUUGUAUGCUGGGCCAGAAAGAUUCAAAUCGAAACCCUCUGUAUGUCUUGAUGUUAUUUUCUGUAGUCAGUAGUAGGGGGCAGUGAUUUGAAACCAGGGAUGAGUCUGCUUGCAACAUGCAAUUCGGUAGCAUGCACUCUCACUCUCCGGAGCAAAAUACCCUAUGAAUUUUAGUGUGGGUCACAUUGUUAGUCCAUGUGAACUUUCUUCCUCUCAAAUGAAUCUCCUUUAAUUCCAUAUCCUCAACCAUUGUCCUGAAACCUCCCAUCACCCGCCUAUUGAUAUUGUCAUUGCUUUUAUCUUAUGCCUUUAGUAUCAUAUUGAAGUCCCCCAUUAGGAGCCACCUAUCUGAAUCAACCGGCUUGCAUGAUCUAAUCUCAUGCAGCAAUUUAAGUUUAUCAUCAUCAUUCUGUGGACCAUAUACCUUAGUUAACCACCAAGUGAUUGGUGCCAUCAAGGCCUCUAAUUUGGCCGUGACUAUGCUGAUUCUGUGCUCAGCUUGAGGCAAUCUGUAGUAAUCUUUGUGCACUGCCAGUAGAACCACUCCUCUGGUUGCUUGAGCCGGCAAAUAGGUGAAGCUUCUUGCAAUUGUGGUCCUAAAGUUUUCUUCACCACUAUCUCAUAUAUGGUUUCCAUCUUUAUUUCUUGCAGGCAGACAAUGGUGCAUCUAUGCUCAUCCACUAGAUCCUUUACCACUUUUCUUCUAACUUUUCCAUUUAAUCCCCUCACAUUCCAACUUAAGAUUGUACAUUUCUGCUCAUUCAUUUGUAACCUAUGUAUCUUCUCAGCCCAUUUUGAACCCCUUUGAUUUGCAACCACCUUCCACCAGUACCCCUGUGGCACCUUCCUCCAGCAUCUACCAUGUUACUCCCAACAAAACAUAACAAAACACUGGAAAAUAGACAGCCCACACUGGGCUCCCCCUCCCACCACAACAUCAUGAUAACAUAGAACGUCUUAGCACAUGCCCACACUAGACAGCACCAGAGACACCACACUAGACUACACAUAGGAACUGCGACAAACCCAUACACCCACACACCCCUUCCCAACAUAUGGUGGAUAUGGAAUUACUCAUCUGCCUCCAACGCCACCACGCUGAGAGGCC
RNAcentral lists this long non-coding RNA (1129 nucleotides) under Setaria viridis. RNAcentral describes it as "long non-coding RNA (SVIR_LNC005989)". The record is from RNAcentral. Lineage: Eukaryota; Viridiplantae; Streptophyta; Magnoliopsida; Poales; Poaceae.